Long non-coding RNA from Leucoraja erinaceus (little skate), 523 nucleotides. RefSeq lists it as uncharacterized. The record is from RefSeq and is a predicted model, not a curated record. Lineage: Eukaryota; Metazoa; Chordata; Chondrichthyes; Rajiformes; Rajidae. The transcript is spliced from 4 exons.
UCGCCGGCAACUCCAACAGCAACCAGAGAGGGACAAGCCUUCCGCUCAAACGCCAAGCUCGUUGUGCGUCUCUCCUGGUUGGUGAGCUCCAAUCUUCCAGCUGCUUCAAUUGGACCUGCCGGCUUUUGCCCAGAUGAGGGAGUUUAAAGUCGAUUGCAUCAUGGUUAUCAGAUGAAUUUCCCUGGAGAGAUUGAGGAGGGAAAUAAAUUGGAUCAUCUCAUGGUCAUUGAUGUAUUUGGCAGUACCUCUGGAUUGAAGAUGAGUUGUUUCCAGUCCUGCGGUAACUGAUGUGGUCAGUUUUGGAAUCUUAAGCACUUCCACAGAUGAGGCCUGGUGUAAGAUCUUUGUGAGUCACCGUGAGUCAAAAAAUGCACAUCAAAGUGGCCAUCCAUAAUCACCCCCCUCUAUUUCCUUCUUAUCUGUCAAUAUCUUAAGCAGUUGUGAUCACUGCUGCCUUUGACCAGAAAGGAUCAUAAUGCGGAGAGAGACUUCUAUUUCGUUUGGGAAUGAAGAAGAGGUAUGC